UUUGAAAUAAAAAUUUUUGUCACAGAUUGUUAAAAGGGGAAGUUUGUUUGGAUUCUAUUUGUAAUUGAUUUUAUUCGUAUCCAAAAUCUAGGCUAUUUGAGUGGUAAUUGACAUAAAAAGAUUUGGGGCUAGUAGAGUCAUAAGAGAAAUCAGAGACAUUCAAGAAACAGAGCGUCGACCAAUAGAUAACUACCUGGACUCGCGCUCGAGCACUGAAGAGAAAUUUGAAGUCGAACACUGGCACUUGCUUGGCGCCACCUGCCAGCUUGAGUGGCGGGCUAUCAUUCACUUGGCAUCUACCUAGCGCUCAAGGGACAGUAUUAUCUGGCCAAAAUUCUGUUUUGAUUUUAGUGCUGAUUUUGAAACCCAUUAUAUCCUAAACACUUCCUACAAUAAAUAUAAAAUCACAUGUCCGUUCCAAAGAGUAUUGAAUCAUUAGUAUACUUUAGAGAUCACAUUCUUUAAGAUCCAAAACAUAUUCCAAAGAUCUCUUGAUUCAACCCAUGAUCAUUGAUUAUAAAUUCAUCCCAAAACACAUUAUAUUAUUGGGAAAACCUUGUUAUAAGUCAAGAGAUUAUCCUUUAAAAUCGAAAUACACAUUCCAAUAAAUCUUGCAUCGGCCUACAGAAAACACAAAAGAUCCUUUGAUCAAACAUCAAAACGAAAUCCUACCUUUGCUAAUUAGCCAUUAGAGUUCUAGAGUUUUGGGAAGAGGUGCUUGGAGUUUCAAUGCUCAAGGAUGAGGUUUGUUCUUGUCGAUACACAUGAAGAGAAAAGUAGCUCAAAGUUUUGAGAAGUGUGGAAGUCCACUAUCAGAAGAGUUCCUUGGUGAUUUACAAGCUAGAUGGCUAGAGUCAGCUAAGCCACCUAAGGUUUAGCGAUAUCUAGACUAAUUGUAAGUUAAUUUUUCUAGUGGAUUUUAAUGGUAAAUUCGCCCGGAGGUUUUCGAUACCUAGAGUUUUUCAAGGAAUUUUCCUCCAUGCUCAUAUUUGGUGCUAUUUAUUUAUUUACUACUUUGAUGUUUUAGAUAGUUUAAACCUAGGAAUUAAUUGAAUUAAUGAUCUUAAACACACACACACAUAUAUUCCCUUUUUCAAUUUAUUGUUUAAAUUCUUAAUUUUUGAAAUCAGAAUUAGAUGGGUUUUUAAGAAGAGAAAUUGAUUACGAAAUGAGGCUGUGAAGUACAAUCGAGAGAGUGGAAAUGCUAAUUUGGGAAUGGGUUUUGAAGAUUUGAGUAUCAAUUUCGUGACGACGAAGAAGGAAUUCUUCAUCAGAGAUUUGGGCGUGUGUGGUUAUGGGUGUGGGUUUAGUUUUAAUUUGGUAGUGAAGAAGAUGUGGUAGGGGCAAAAGUGCAAUUGAAAGAGAAAAAGAUGGAGUAGAGAGAUGUGGGGGAUUGGGAGCAGAUUUCCUUUCUUUUUCUUUUUCUUUUUAAUUUAAUUAUUCUAAUAGUUAAUAUUUGAAAAAAAAAUAUAUAAAUAUGCCUUUGACUCUUUUUAAUUAGGUCAAAAUUCGACCUUUUUUUUUUUUUUUGUCAGCUAAUGGUCAAACGGAUGAAAUGUCCUUGUACUGCAACGAAAUAAAAAAUUCGAAAUUAUGGAUGAUAGAAGAUGAAAGUUGAAGUAAAGUCCAAGAAAAAUAAAUAGGUUUGGAAUUGUUACUGCAAUUAUACCUAUUUUUAAUGACUUUUCAAAACAUAGAUGGUGAACCAUCAGAAAAUUAGUCAGAUACAAAACAAAAGUACAUAUCAAAUGAAAGUAACAAUAAUGAAUUGAUACUGAUAUUGAGGAAACAUACAUCGAAAGGACAGAAAUCAUUACAGUAAUCUAAACACAAUCAUCAAUGGUGCAGAGAUUCAAAGACAAUGUACAGUAAUUCAAGUACAAUAUACUAUCUAAGGACGAUGGCGUAGUAACUCCUAGAGGUUGAAGCCCAAUUUUGAGGGCUUCCAUCGUCUCGUUCCUAGUCGCUAUCAUAUGCGUUACAAGAAUUUUGUACUUAUCGUAUUUUUAUUAG
RNAcentral lists this long non-coding RNA (2013 nucleotides) under Olea europaea (common olive). RNAcentral describes it as "long non-coding RNA (OEUR_LNC005665)". Lineage: Eukaryota; Viridiplantae; Streptophyta; Magnoliopsida; Lamiales; Oleaceae. The record is from RNAcentral.